UACAGAGGUCUCAAGCGUUGUUCGGAUUCAUUGGGCGUAAAGAGCGUGUAGGCGGCCAGGUAGGUCGGUUGUGAAAACUGGAGGCUCAACCUUCAGAGGUCGGCCGAAACCAUCUGGCUAGAGUCCGGGAGAGGAGAGUGGAAUUCCUGGUGUAGCGGUGAAAUGCGCAGAUAUCAGGAAGAACACCCGUGGCGAAAGCGGCUCUCUGGAACGGUACUGACGCUGAGACGCGAAAGCGUGGGGAGCGAACAGG
RNAcentral lists this ribosomal RNA (253 nucleotides) under uncultured bacterium. Its description in RNAcentral is "partial 16S ribosomal RNA". It matches the Rfam family "Bacterial small subunit ribosomal RNA", at positions 524 to 776 of the family's 1533-position model. The record is from RNAcentral.